GGCCUCGCGGCCUAUCAGCUUGUUGGUGAGGUAACGGCUCACCAAGGCAUCGACGGGUAGCUGGUCUGAGAGGAUGAUCAGCCACACUGGGACUGAGACACGGCCCAGACUCCUACGGGAGGCAGCAGUGGGGAAUCUUGCACAAUGGGCGCAAGCCUGAUGCAGCAACGCCGCGUGCGGGAAGAAGGCCCUAGGGUUGUAAACCGCUUUUAGCAGGGAAGAAACUGACGGUACCUGCAGAAAAAGGUGCGGCCAACUACGUGCCAGCAGCCGCGGUGACACGUAGGCACCAAGCGUUGUCCGGAUUUAUUGGGCGUAAAGAGCUCGUAGGCGGUUCGGUAAGUCGGGUGUGAAAACUCUGGGCUCAACCCAGAGCCGCCACCCGAUACUGCUGUGACUUGAGUUCGGUAGGGGAGCGGGGAAUUCCUGGUGCAGCGGUGAAAUGCGCAGAUAUCAGGAGGAACACCAGUGGCGAAGGCGCCGCUCUGGGCCGAGACUGACGCUGAGGAGCGAAAGCGUGGGUAGCAAACAGGAUUAGAUACCCUGGUAGUCCACGCCGUAAACGUUGGGCACUAGGUGUGGGUCUCAACCAACGAGAUCCGCGCCGUCGCUAACGCAUUAAGUGCCCCGCCUGGGGAGUACGG
Molecule: ribosomal RNA, 644 nt
Filed under: uncultured bacterium
Lineage: Bacteria
Description: bacterial SSU rRNA
Rfam family: Bacterial small subunit ribosomal RNA
Source: RNAcentral